Molecule: ribosomal RNA, 759 nt
Filed under: Salmonella enterica
Lineage: Bacteria; Pseudomonadati; Pseudomonadota; Gammaproteobacteria; Enterobacterales; Enterobacteriaceae
Description: partial 23S ribosomal RNA
Rfam family: Bacterial large subunit ribosomal RNA
Source: RNAcentral
AGGUUGAAGGUUGGGUAACACUAACUGGAGGACCGAACCGACUAAUGUUGAAAAAUUAGCGGAUGACCUGUGGCUGGGGGUGAAAGGCCAAUCAAACCGGGAGAUAGCUGGUUCUCCCCGAAAGCUAUUUAGGUAGCGCCUCGUGAACUCAUCUCCGGGGGUAGAGCACUGUUUCGGCUAGGGGGCCAUCCCGGCUUACCAACCCGAUGCAAACUGCGAAUACCGGAGAAUGUUAUCACGGGAGACACACGGCGGGUGCUAACGUCCGUCGUGAAGAGGGAAACAACCCAGACCGCCAGCUAAGGUCCCAAAGUCAUGGUUAAGUGGGAAACGAUGUGGGAAGGCCCAGACAGCCAGGAUGUUGGCUUAGAAGCAGCCAUCAUUUAAAGAAAGCGUAAUAGCUCACUGGUCGAGUCGGCCUGCGCGGAAGAUGUAACGGGGCUAAACCAUGCACCGAAGCUGCGGCAGCGACACUAUGUGUUGUUGGGUAGGGGAGCGUUCUGUAAGCCUGUGAAGGUGGCCUGUGAGGGUUGCUGGAGGUAUCAGAAGUGCGAAUGCUGACAUAAGUAACGAUAAAGCGGGUGAAAAGCCCGCUCGCCGGAAGACCAAGGGUUCCUGUCCAACGUUAAUCGGGGCAGGGUGAGUCGACCCCUAAGGCGAGGCCGAAAGGCGUAGUCGAUGGGAAACGGGUUAAUAUUCCCGUACUUGGUGUUACUGCGAAGGGGGGACGGAGAAGGCUAUGUUGGCCGGGCGACGGUU